This is a long non-coding RNA of Amphimedon queenslandica, 484 nucleotides long. RefSeq lists it as uncharacterized. The record is from RefSeq and is a predicted model, not a curated record. The transcript has 2 exons. Lineage: Eukaryota; Metazoa; Porifera; Demospongiae; Haplosclerida; Niphatidae.
ACGAGAGAGAAGGAUCGGUAGUUAUUGGAUAGUUCGAAAUACUUUGAAGUGUUAGAAAGGAAAAAAGCUACUAAGGAAAAUCAGUGCCACUUAAAUCUUGAAAAAAUUACUCUUUCAAUCAGAGAUCAAACAGAAAAUCAUGUGCCAUCAGUGCUCUGUCCAUAACUGUAGAACAUCACAAACAAAUGUAAAAGACGGCAUUUGGUACCAUUGCGGUAUCAGACACAGGUUCUGUGAGAGUCACAGGAACAAAGACUACUGCCCUCAUCAUAGAGGCAGCGCAAAUAAGAAUCCUUAUGGGCAUAACUGAAACUGCUCACUUUCUCUCCCUCUUGCUCUCUUUUGUUUAGAAACUACUAAUCCUUCUCUCUCUGUUGUACUUCAACAUGUACAUGUACAUGUACUGAGUGUGUGUCUACUAUUCAUUUGACUAUUAUUUAAAAGUAUUGUUUUAAUGUCUCAAUUAUUAUAGUCUUUAGAAAAA